Molecule: long non-coding RNA, 1386 nt
Filed under: Callithrix jacchus (white-tufted-ear marmoset)
Lineage: Eukaryota; Metazoa; Chordata; Mammalia; Primates; Cebidae
Description: lncRNA (ENSCJAG00000085417.1)
Source: RNAcentral
ACCCCCUGCUCCAUCUCCCCACACCUCCAUCCCUGUCCCCCCAGCUCCAUCCAUCUCCCCACAAUCCAAUCACUUUCCCCCUGCUCCAUCCACAUCCCCCCAAUCUCACUCCUAUCCCCUUCUCCAUCCACAUCCCCACAAUUCCAUUCCUAUCCCCCCUGCUCCAUCCAUCUCCCACAAUCCCAUUCCUAUCCCCCCUGCUUCAUCCAUAUCCCCACAAUCCCAUUCCUAUCCCCCUCCUCCAUCCAACUCCCCACAAUCCCAUUCCUAUCCCCUGCUCCAUCCACAUCCCCACAAUCCCAUUCCUAUCCCUCCUGCUCCAUCCAUCUCCCACAAUCCCAUUCCUAUCCCCCCUGCUUCAUCCAUAUCCCCACAAUCCCAUUCCUAUUUCCCCUCUUCCAUCCAACUCCCCACAAUCCCAUUCCUAUCCCCUGCUCCAUCCACAUCCCCACAAUCCCAUUCCUAUCCCCCUCUUCCAUCCAACUCCCCACAAUCCCAUUCCUAUCCCCUGCUCCAUCCACAUCCCCACAAUCCCAUUCCUAUCCCCCUCUUCCAUCCAACUCCCCACAAUCCCAUUCCUAUCCCCUGCUCCAUCCACAUCCCCACAAUCCCAUUCCUAUCCCCCCUGCUUCAUCCAUAUCCCCACAAUCCCAUUCCUAUUUCCCUUCCUCCAUCCAACUCCCCACAACCCCAUUCCUAUCCCCUGCUCCAUCCACAUCCCCACAAUCCCAUUCCUAUCCCCUGAUCCAUCCACAUCCCCACAAUCCCAUUCCUAUCCCCCCUGCUCCAUCCAUCUCCCACAAUCCCAUUCCUAUCCCCCCUGCUUCAUCCAUAUCCCCACAAUCCCAUUCCUAUUUCCCCUCUUCCAUCCAACUCCCCACAAUCCCAUUCCUAUCCCCUGCUCCAUCCACAUCCCCACAAUCCCAUUCCUAUCCCCCUCUUCCAUCCAACUCCCCACAAUCCCAUUCCUAUCCCCCUCUUCCAUCCGACUCCCCACAAUCCCAUUCCUAUCCCCCUCCUCCAUCCAACUCCCCACAAUCCCAUUACUAUCGCCUGCCCCGCUCCAUCCACAUCCCCACAAUCUCAUUCUAUACCCCCUGCUCCAUUCCUAUCCUCACAGUCACAUUCAUACCUCACUCCACUCCAUACAUAUCCCCACAGUCUCAUUCCUAUCCCCCUUGCCCCAUCCAUAUCCCCACAAUCUCAUUCCUAUUCCCCCUUGCUCUAUACAUUUUCCCACAAUCUCACUUUACCGCCACUCCCCUCCCCACGAGCCAACUCACCUCUUGGUGGAGGGAGAUGGAGGCUCAGCCUCCUGUGCUCUGCCCAUCACCACCUUCCCCUUCCCCCACAUUCCAUGACGGCCUUAAGCCUCAGCCUUCUUAA